UACGUAGGGUGCGAGCGUUGUCCGGAUUUAUUGGGCGUAAAGAGCUCGUAGGCGGCUUGUCGCGUCGGAUGUGAAAGCCCCGGGCUCAACCCGGGAAGUGCACUCGAUACUGCCGAGCUAGAGUGUCGGAGAGGUUGGUGGAAUUCUCGGUGUAGAGGUGAAAUUCGUAGAUAUCGAGAGGAACACCGGUGGCGAAGGCGGCCAACUGGACGAACACUGACGCUGGAGAACUCGAAAGACGUGGGGGAGCAAACAGG
This 257-nucleotide ribosomal RNA is filed under the name uncultured bacterium. RNAcentral's name for it is "partial 16S ribosomal RNA". It matches the Rfam family "Bacterial small subunit ribosomal RNA", at positions 524 to 776 of the family's 1533-position model. The record is from RNAcentral.